This 427-nucleotide ribosomal RNA is filed under the name uncultured bacterium. Its description in RNAcentral is "bacterial SSU rRNA". It matches the Rfam family "Bacterial small subunit ribosomal RNA", at positions 355 to 774 of the family's 1533-position model. The record is from RNAcentral.
UGGGGAAUUCUGGACAAUGGACGCAAGUCUGAUCCAGCCAUGCCGCGUGCGGGAAGGAGGCCUUCGGGUUGUAAACCGCUUUUGUCAGGGAAGAAACGAGUUUCUCUAAUACAGAGACUUAAUGACGGCACCUGAAGAAUAAGCACCGGCUAACUACGUGCCAGCAGCCGCGGUAAUACGUAGGGUGCAAGCGUUAAUCGGAAUUACUGGGCGUAAAGCGUGCGCAGGCGGCUAUGCAAGACAGAUGUGAAAUCCCCGGGCUCAACCUGGGAACUGCAUUUGUGACUGCAUAGCUGGAGUGCGGCAGAGGGGGAUGGAAUUCCGCGUGUAGCAGUGAAAUGCGUAGAUAUGCGGAGGAACACCGAUGGCGAAGGCAAUCCCCUGGACCUGUACUGACGCUCAUGCACGAAAGCGUGGGGAGCAAACA